This is a microRNA precursor of Cebus imitator (Panamanian white-faced capuchin), 82 nucleotides long. Lineage: Eukaryota; Metazoa; Chordata; Mammalia; Primates; Cebidae. The record is from Ensembl.
UUAGGUUGGUGCAAAAGUAAUUGUGGUUUUUGCUAUUAAAAGUAAUGCCAAAACCCACAGUAACUUUUGCACCAACCUAAUA